This 255-nucleotide ribosomal RNA is filed under the name uncultured bacterium. Its description in RNAcentral is "partial 16S ribosomal RNA". The record is from RNAcentral.
CUGCUGCCUCCCGUAGGAGUUUGGGCCGUGUCUCAGUCCCAAUGUGGCCGGUCACCCUCUCAGGUCGGCUACUGAUCGUCGCCUUGGUGGGCCGUUACCCCUCCAACUAGCUAAUCAGACGCGGGUCCAUCUCAUACCACCGGAGUUUUUCACACAAGAACAUGCAUCCUCGUGCGCUUAUGCGGUAUUAGCAGUCAUUUCUAACUGUUAUCCCCCUGUAUGAGGCAGGUUACCCACGCGUUACUCACCCGUCCG